UACUUAGUGGCAGACGGGUGAGUAACAUGUAGGUAUCUGCCCUUUGGCCUGGAAUAACACGAGGAAACUUGUGCUAAUACCGGAUAAGUCUUUACGGAGAAAGCUUUAUGCACCAUUGGAUGAGCCUGCACUUGAUUAGUUUGUUGGUGGGGUAAUGGCCUACCAAGACUGUGAUCAAUAGCUGAUUUGAGAGGAUGAUCAGCCACAUUGGGACUGAGACACGGCCCAAACUCCUACGGGAGGCAGCAGUGGGGAAUCUUGCACAAUGGAGGAAACUCUGAUGCAGCGAUGCCGCGUGAGUGAAGAAGGCCCUUGGGUUGUAAAGCUCUUUCGUCGGGGAAGAAAAUGACUGUACCCGAAUAAGAAGGUCCGGCUAACUUCGUGCCAGCAGCCGCGGUAAUACGAAGGGACCUAGCGUAGUUCGGAAUUACUGGGCUUAAAGAGUUCGUAGGUGGUUGAAAAAGUUAGUGGUGAAAUCCC
Molecule: ribosomal RNA, 480 nt
Filed under: uncultured Alphaproteobacteria bacterium
Lineage: Bacteria; Pseudomonadati; Pseudomonadota; Alphaproteobacteria
Description: bacterial SSU rRNA
Rfam family: Bacterial small subunit ribosomal RNA
Source: RNAcentral